CCGCUCUGAAGUGUAACAGCAUAAAACAGAAGCUAUUAUUUCUCCCAGCGGUUGGGUAGUUUCCUGACCAAGGUGACAACACAAAGGGAUGGGGAGAGGUGAGCUGUGGCCAGAAACCACAAGUUAGCAGCAGGACCAGAGCUGCUGCCCCUGGUCAAAGCCCGGCUGUUGCGUACAAAGCUUGAUUUUGCCGCCAAAAAGAUUGGAUGAUUCAUAACAUCCCGGUCACUGAUUUUCCUGGUUCCUAGGCUCCAGUGGACACUAUGUCCAGAGGCCUCUUCUAGAGGAGACUGGGAUCCGCACUGCAGCCAGGUCACCUGGAGAGGCCGGUGGAGUGGACGAAGCAGGCAAAGGCGGCAACAGAGUAGAGGUGCUGUCCAGGAGCUUCCGAGUCUCAGUCCCCACCAGGCGGGGCUGGGAGGCUCCCAGCGGCCGUCUGGCCUGCAGAUGCCACCAUGGAUACAGCAGAUCAAAUGAUGCAAGCAGUUACUGCCCUUUUACAGUUCAAGUGACAUCCAGGCCCCGGUGGACGCCAAGACCUCUAGGAGUAGAAGCCAGCGUCUCUACAGGCAGCUGUCACAGGAAUUCAACAGUGAGCGCCCCACGGCAGGUCUGCUCAGGUUCCCUCUACUCUUGCCCCAACCCCCAAGGUGUCUGUGUGUGCGAUCACCACAGCCAGCCCUACGCUCCAUUUUACAAAUGGAGAAACAGAUCAGAGCAGGGUGUGAGCCCUCCAAUUUCACACCAGCAACUGGUUGACCCCUGAGGAGACUCCAGGCCACCUGACAUGCAGUCACACCUUCCACACCUCUGGUUGUCUCCUUGUUUGGUGGCCUGGUGGGAGGGCAGAAGAGCCAGGGGGCAUGGCUGUUCAGCUUUGAUUGAUAGCAACCAUCAGUAAUCUGUUAGAUAGCCACAAACUAUCAUGGGCUUCACACUGAAACCUCAUAUCAACUCUGGAAGUAAAUUGUCUCAUUUGUCAUAACAGGACUCUGAGUCUCUGAAAGGCUAAGACUUGCCUGAGGUCCCCAGGCUGGGACACCAUGGAGCUGGGAGGACUUGAAUAGUAGUCCACAUGCUCUUGGCCCAUGGCUUCACUGUAGGUCUCUUGCAAGCACCAGGCUAUGGGACAUGCUUUUGGAAGUUCUGGAAGCGACUCCCGGUGGCCAAGCGGUGUCCACUGUGGUUGAGGGUGGGUCAGGGAAGGGUUCAGGUUGUUGAGAGUCCUGUGGGCCUCAGGACAGAGGGGGUGACUGACCUGAUUCUCCUGCCUGGGCUGCCCACCCUGACCCUCUCAGACAUUCCUCAUCGUAGGUGAAAUGGGGUAUUCCCAGAGGAGUGGGGUGUGGUCAGGGCGCAGGGAAGACAAAGGAUUUAUAAGCUAGAGACCCCCAGCAUGCCUGUCACGACCCGGCCCAGGGUGCUCUUCACCCCGAGAUGAUCGUGCACAUGGGGGGUCUCCUCCUUCCUCC
This 1472-nucleotide long non-coding RNA is filed under the name Heterocephalus glaber (naked mole-rat). Its description in RNAcentral is "lncRNA (ENSHGLG00100040288.1)". The record is from RNAcentral. Lineage: Eukaryota; Metazoa; Chordata; Mammalia; Rodentia; Bathyergidae.